RNAcentral lists this ribosomal RNA (406 nucleotides) under uncultured bacterium. RNAcentral describes it as "partial 16S ribosomal RNA". It matches the Rfam family "Bacterial small subunit ribosomal RNA", at positions 28 to 526 of the family's 1533-position model. The record is from RNAcentral.
GACGAACGCUGGCGGCGUGCCUAAUACAUGCAAGUAGGACGAGUUGCGAACGGGUGAGUAACGCGUGGUAACCUGCCUCUUAGAGGGGGAUAACUAUUGAAAACGGUAGCUAAUACCGCAUACCAUCGGAUGUGCCCAGAUGGGAUUAGCUAGUAGUGGGGGUAAAGGCUCCCCUAGGCGACGCUCCCUAGCUGGUCUGAGAGGCGGACCAUCCACACUGGAACUGAGACACGGUCCAGACUCCUACGGGAUGCAGCAUGGGGAAAUAUUGCACAAUGGGCGCAAGCCUGAUGCAGCCAUGCCGCGUGUAUGAAGAAGGCCUUCGGGUUGUAAAGUACUUUCAGCGGGGAGGCGUUACCCGCAGAAGAAGCACCGGCUAACUCCGUGCCAGCAGCCGCGGUAAUAC